RNAcentral lists this ribosomal RNA (1528 nucleotides) under Klebsiella pneumoniae UCICRE 7. RNAcentral describes it as "bacterial SSU rRNA". It matches the Rfam family "Bacterial small subunit ribosomal RNA". Lineage: Bacteria; Pseudomonadati; Pseudomonadota; Gammaproteobacteria; Enterobacterales; Enterobacteriaceae. The record is from RNAcentral.
AGAGUUUGAUCAUGGCUCAGAUUGAACGCUGGCGGCAGGCCUAACACAUGCAAGUCGAGCGGUAGCACAGAGAGCUUGCUCUCGGGUGACGAGCGGCGGACGGGUGAGUAAUGUCUGGGAAACUGCCUGAUGGAGGGGGAUAACUACUGGAAACGGUAGCUAAUACCGCAUAACGUCGCAAGACCAAAGUGGGGGACCUUCGGGCCUCAUGCCAUCAGAUGUGCCCAGAUGGGAUUAGCUAGUAGGUGGGGUAAUGGCUCACCUAGGCGACGAUCCCUAGCUGGUCUGAGAGGAUGACCAGCCACACUGGAACUGAGACACGGUCCAGACUCCUACGGGAGGCAGCAGUGGGGAAUAUUGCACAAUGGGCGCAAGCCUGAUGCAGCCAUGCCGCGUGUGUGAAGAAGGCCUUCGGGUUGUAAAGCACUUUCAGCGGGGAGGAAGGCGAUAAGGUUAAUAACCUUGUCGAUUGACGUUACCCGCAGAAGAAGCACCGGCUAACUCCGUGCCAGCAGCCGCGGUAAUACGGAGGGUGCAAGCGUUAAUCGGAAUUACUGGGCGUAAAGCGCACGCAGGCGGUCUGUCAAGUCGGAUGUGAAAUCCCCGGGCUCAACCUGGGAACUGCAUUCGAAACUGGCAGGCUAGAGUCUUGUAGAGGGGGGUAGAAUUCCAGGUGUAGCGGUGAAAUGCGUAGAGAUCUGGAGGAAUACCGGUGGCGAAGGCGGCCCCCUGGACAAAGACUGACGCUCAGGUGCGAAAGCGUGGGGAGCAAACAGGAUUAGAUACCCUGGUAGUCCACGCCGUAAACGAUGUCGAUUUGGAGGUUGUGCCCUUGAGGCGUGGCUUCCGGAGCUAACGCGUUAAAUCGACCGCCUGGGGAGUACGGCCGCAAGGUUAAAACUCAAAUGAAUUGACGGGGGCCCGCACAAGCGGUGGAGCAUGUGGUUUAAUUCGAUGCAACGCGAAGAACCUUACCUGGUCUUGACAUCCACAGAACUUUCCAGAGAUGGAUUGGUGCCUUCGGGAAUUGUGAGACAGGUGCUGCAUGGCUGUCGUCAGCUCGUGUUGUGAAAUGUUGGGUUAAGUCCCGCAACGAGCGCAACCCUUAUCCUUUGUUGCCAGCGGUUAGGCCGGGAACUCAAAGGAGACUGCCAGUGAUAAACUGGAGGAAGGUGGGGAUGACGUCAAGUCAUCAUGGCCCUUACGACCAGGGCUACACACGUGCUACAAUGGCAUAUACAAAGAGAAGCGACCUCGCGAGAGCAAGCGGACCUCAUAAAGUAUGUCGUAGUCCGGAUUGGAGUCUGCAACUCGACUCCAUGAAGUCGGAAUCGCUAGUAAUCGUAGAUCAGAAUGCUACGGUGAAUACGUUCCCGGGCCUUGUACACACCGCCCGUCACACCAUGGGAGUGGGUUGCAAAAGAAGUAGGUAGCUUAACCUUCGGGAGGGCGCUUACCACUUUGUGAUUCAUGACUGGGGUGAAGUCGUAACAAGGUAACCGUAGGGGAACCUGCGGUUGGAUCACCU